RNAcentral lists this long non-coding RNA (209 nucleotides) under Elaeis guineensis (African oil palm). Its description in RNAcentral is "long non-coding RNA (EGUI_LNC035133)". The record is from RNAcentral. Lineage: Eukaryota; Viridiplantae; Streptophyta; Magnoliopsida; Arecales; Arecaceae.
CCUCCAUUAAUUUUUCUCUCUUUAGAGUGUCUAAGAGAUCAAAAGAAGAAGAAGAUCAGCCUUCAAAGAUCCUUACGAGCUAGCACUUUCGAGAAGCCUGAUUAGCAUCCGUUCUUCGUGUGGACGAUCUGUAGAGACCGAACAUCUUUGUGCGGCUGUGAGCAACUUGAAGAAACUCCUAUCCAUAUGAUACAUUUGCAGAGAUUAGU